GAUGAACGCUGGCGGCGUGCUUAACACAUGCAAGUCGAACGGAAAGGCUCCUGCUUGCAGGGGUACUCGAGUGGCGAACGGGUGAGUAACACGUGGGUGAUCUGCCCUGCACUUCGGGAUAAGCCUGGGAAACUGGGUCUAAUACCGGAUAGGACGAUGGUUUGGAUGCCAUUGUUGAAAGUUUUUCGGUGUGGGAUGAGCUCGCGGCCUAUCAGCUUGUUGGUGGGGUAAUGGCCUACUAAGGCGUCGACGGGUAGCCGGCCUGAGAGGGUGUACGGCCACAAUGGGACUGAGAUACGGCCCAGACUCCUACGGGAGGCAGCAGUGGGGAAUAUUGCACAAUGGGCGGAAGCCUGAUGCAGCGAAGCCGCGUGGGGGAUGACGGCCUUCGGGUUGUAAACUCCUUUCGCUAGGGACGAAGCGCAAGUGACGGUAACUGGAGAAGAAGCACCGGCUAACUACGUG
This 465-nucleotide ribosomal RNA is filed under the name uncultured bacterium. Its description in RNAcentral is "partial 16S ribosomal RNA". It matches the Rfam family "Bacterial small subunit ribosomal RNA", at positions 28 to 507 of the family's 1533-position model. The record is from RNAcentral.